GUACUGGCUUCGGUGGUACAUAUUCUACAAUUGGAACGACCCAGAGAAGCUUAGCUCCUGCACAAGCAUGACACAGAGAGUCGUGAAGCGUUACAUAUUUGU
Non-coding RNA from Octopus bimaculoides (California two-spot octopus), 102 nucleotides. The record is from Rfam. NCBI's taxonomy places the organism in Eukaryota, Metazoa, Mollusca, Cephalopoda, Octopoda, Octopodidae.